UACGAGGGGGGCGAGCGUUGUUCGGAAUUAUUGGGCGUAAAGGGCGCGUAGGCGGCCUGGCAAGUGGAAGGUGAAAUCCCUCGGCUUAACCGAGGAACUGCCCUCCAAACUGCUUGGCUUGAGUCCGGGAGAGGUGAGUGGAAUUCCCAGUGUAGCGGUGAAAUGCGUAGAUAUUGGGAGGAACACCAGUGGCGAAGGCGGCUCACUGGACCGGAACUGACGCUGAGGCGCGAAAGCGUGGGGAGCAAACGGG
Molecule: ribosomal RNA, 253 nt
Filed under: uncultured bacterium
Lineage: Bacteria
Description: partial 16S ribosomal RNA
Rfam family: Bacterial small subunit ribosomal RNA
Source: RNAcentral